This is a long non-coding RNA of Amyelois transitella, 435 nucleotides long. RefSeq lists it as uncharacterized. NCBI's taxonomy places the organism in Eukaryota, Metazoa, Arthropoda, Insecta, Lepidoptera, Pyralidae. The record is from RefSeq and is a predicted model, not a curated record. The transcript has 2 exons.
CAUUCGGGGUAAGCGAGCGCAGUGGGUAAGUGAGCGCAAUGCUUAUAACCCCCGAACAGAGAGCGGGGGAUGCGUCGUUUGUUCGGACAAAUCAGGGACCGCCCGCGUGCCGGCUAGUCGCGACGAGUCACUGGAGCGUGCGGCGGACGAACAAAUUAUUUUUCGUAUAAAUAAAUAUUUGUUGUAAGCUUUUGCAGUUUUUUACCUGACGGAAAACAGUGUGGUAUCCACAUUAUUGGAUUCAAAACGGACCUCCUACAACGCCUCGAAAUUAUAAACGAAAAAAUCCUGAUCUUAUGCCAGUAACCGAAGAGCAAAUCACAAGCACUGCAUACGAAAGAGGAGUGUUUGUCUGCGAUAAUUGUGCUGAUAUUUCUUAAAAGAACAUGUUUAAGAUUUUAAUAGACAUUAUUGUUAAAAUAUAGAUGAUGAUUC